CCUACGGGAGGCAGCAGUGAGGAAUAUUGGUCAAUGGGCGAGAGCCUGAACCAGCCAAGUCGCGUGAGGGAGUACUGCCCUAUGGGUUGUAAACCUCUUUUGUCGGGGAGCAAAAGCCGGACGUGUCCGGCUGUGAGAGUACCCGAAGAAAAAGCAUCGGCUAACUCCGUGCCAGCAGCCGCGGUAAUACGGAGGAUGCGAGCGUUAUCCGGAUUUAUUGGGUUUAAAGGGUGCGCAGGCGGAUUUUUAAGUCAGCGGUAAAAUCGUGGGGCUCAACCCCAUCCAGCCGUUGAAACUGGGGAUCUAGAGUGUGCGAGAGGUAUGCGGAAAGCGUGGUGUAGCGGUGAAAUGCAUAGAUAUCACGCAGAACCCCGAUUGCGAAGGCAGCAUACCGGUGCACAACUGACGCUCAGGCACGAAAGCGUGGGUAUCGAACAGGAUUAGAUACCCCGGUAGUC
RNAcentral lists this ribosomal RNA (458 nucleotides) under uncultured bacterium. RNAcentral describes it as "partial 16S ribosomal RNA". It matches the Rfam family "Bacterial small subunit ribosomal RNA", at positions 338 to 795 of the family's 1533-position model. The record is from RNAcentral.